AGACCAACAGGGAUUGCCCUAGUAACGGCGAGUGAAGCGGCAACAGCUCAAAUUUGAAAUCUGGCUUUCGGGUCCGAAUUGUAAUUUGCAGAGGAUGCUUUUGGCGAGGUGCCUUCCGAGUUCCCUGGAACGGGACGCCUUAGAGGGUGAGAGCCCCGUACGGUUGGACACUAAGCCUUUGUAAAGCUCCUUCGACGAGUCGAGUAGUUUGGGAAUGCUGCUCUAAAUGGGAGGUAAAUUUCUUCUAAAGCUAAAUACCGGCCAGAGACCGAUAGCGCACAAGUAGAGUGAUCGAAAGAUGAAAAGCACUUUGAAAAGAGGGUUAAAUAGCACGUGAAAUUGUUGAAAGGGAAGCGUUUACGGCCAGACCUUUUCCUAGCGGAUCAUCUGGUGUUCUCACCGGUGCACUUCGCUAGGUUUAGGCCAGCAUCGGCUUCUGUAGAGGGAUAAAAGCAGUGGGAAAGUAGCUCUCUCGGGAGUGUUAUAGCCCUAAGCAUAAUACCUUUACGGGGGCCGAGGACCGCGCUUUUGCAAGGAUGCUGGCGUAAUGGUCGUCAACGACCCGUCUUGAAACACGGACCAAGGAGUCGAACAUUUGUGCGAGUGUUUGGGGUGGAAA
This 619-nucleotide ribosomal RNA is filed under the name Biscogniauxia petrensis. RNAcentral's name for it is "partial large subunit ribosomal RNA". It matches the Rfam family "Eukaryotic large subunit ribosomal RNA", at positions 62 to 705 of the family's 3401-position model. Lineage: Eukaryota; Fungi; Ascomycota; Sordariomycetes; Xylariales; Xylariaceae. The record is from RNAcentral.